This 460-nucleotide ribosomal RNA is filed under the name uncultured bacterium. RNAcentral describes it as "partial 16S ribosomal RNA". It matches the Rfam family "Bacterial small subunit ribosomal RNA", at positions 338 to 795 of the family's 1533-position model. The record is from RNAcentral.
CCUACGGGUGGCAGCAGUGAGGAAUAUUGGUCAAUGGGCGAGAGCCUGAACCAGCCAAGUCGCGUGAAGGAUGACGGCCCUACGGGUUGUAAACUGCUUUUGUCAGGGAGCAAAUGGGGCCACGCGUGGGCUUAGCGAGAGAACCUGAAGAAAAAGCAUCGGCUAACUCCGUGCCAGCAGCCGGGGUAAGACGGAGGAUGCGAGCGUUAUCCGGAUUUAUUGGGUUAAAGGGGUGCGUAGGCGGAAUAUCAAGUCAGCGGUAAAAAUUCGGGGCUCAACCCCGUCGUGCCGUUGAAACUGAUGGUCUUGAGUGGGCGAGAGGUAUGCGGAAUGCGUGGUGUAGCGGUGAAAUGCAUAGAUAUCACGCAGAACUCCGAUUGCGAAGGCAGCAUACCGGCGCCCAACUGACGCUGAGGCACGAAAGCGUGGGUAUCGAACAGGAUUAGAUACCCGAGUAGUC